GGGUUGUGAGGUUAAGCGACUAAGCGUACACGGUGGAUGCCCUGGCAGUCAGAGGCGAUGAAGGACGUGCUAAUCUGCGAUAAGCGUCGGUGAGGUGAUAUGAACCGUUAUAACCGGCGAUUUCCGAAUGGGGAAACCCAGUGUGUUUCGACACACUAUCAUUAACUGAAUCCAUAGGUUAAUGAGGCGAACCGGGGGAACUGAAACAUCUAAGUACCCCGAGGAAAAGAAAUCAACCGAGAUUCCCCCAGUAGCGGCGAGCGAACGGGGAGGAGCCCAGAGCCUGAAUCAGUGUGUGUGUUAGUGGAAGCGUCUGGAAAGGCGCGCGAUACAGGGUGACAGCCCCGUACACAAAAAUGCACAUACUGUGAGCUCGAUGAGUAGGGCGGGACACGUGGUAUCCUGUCUGAAUAUGGGGGGACCAUCCUCCAAGGCUAAAUACUCCUGACUGACCGAUAGUGAACCAGUACCGUGAGGGAAAGGCGAAAAGAACCCCGGCGAGGGGAGUGAAAAAAGAACCUGAAACCGUGUACGUACAAGCAGUGGGAGCCUCUUAAUGGGGUGACUGCGUACCUUUUGUAUAAUGGGUCAGCGACUUAUAUUCUGUAGCAAGGUUAACCGAAUAGGGGAGCCGAAGGGAAACCGAGUCUUAACUGGGCGCUAAGUUGCAGGGUAUAGACCCGAAACCCGGUGAUCUAGCCAUGGGCAGGUUGAAGGUUGGGUAACACUAACUGGAGGACCGAACCGACUAAUGUUGAAAAAUUAGCGGAUGACUUGUGGCUGGGGGUGAAAGGCCAAUCAAACCGGGAGAUAGCUGGUUCUCCCCGAAAGCUAUUUAGGUAGCGCCUCGUGAAUUCAUCUCCGGGGGUAGAGCACUGUUUCGGCAAGGGGGUCAUCCCGACUUACCAACCCGAUGCAAACUGCGAAUACCGGAGAAUGUUAUCACGGGAGACACACGGCGGGUGCUAACGUCCGUCGUGAAGAGGGAAACAACCCAGACCGCCAGCUAAGGUCCCAAAGUCAUGGUUAAGUGGGAAACGAUGUGGGAAGGCCCAGACAGCCGGGGAUGUUGGCUUAGAAGCAGCCAUCAUUUAAAGAAAGCGUAAUAGCUCACUGGUCGAGUCGGCCUGCGCGGAAGAUGUAACGGGGCUAAACCAUGCACCGAAGCUGCGGCAGCGACACUAUGUGUUGUUGGGUAGGGGAGCGUUCUGUAAGCCUGUGAAGGUGGCCUGUGAGGGUUGCUGGAGGUAUCAGAAGUGCGAAUGCUGACAUAAGUAACGAUAAAGCGGGUGAAAAGCCCGCUCGCCGGAAGACCAAGGGUUCCUGUCCAACGUUAAUCGGGGCAGGGUGAGUCGACCCCUAAGGCGAGGCCGAAAGGCGUAGUCGAUGGGAAACAGGUUAAUAUUCCUGUACUUGGUGUUACUGCGAAGGGGGGGACGGAGAAGGCUAUGUUGGCCGGGCGACGGUUGUCCCGGUUUAAGCGUGUAGGCUGGUUUUCCGGAAAUCCGGAAAACCAAGGCUGAGGCGUGAUGACGAGGCACUACGGUGCUGAAGCGACAAAUGCCCUGCUUCCAGGAAAAGCCUCUAAGCAUCAGGUAACAUCAAAUCGUACCCCAAACCGACACAGGUGGUCAGGUAGAGAAUACCAAGGCGCUUGAGAGAACUCGGGUGAAGGAACUAGGCAAAAUGGUGCCGUAACUUCGGGAGAAGGCACGCUGAUAUGUAGGUGAAGCGACUUGCUCGUGGAGCUGAAAUCAGUCGAAGAUACCAGCUGGCUGCAACUGUUUAUUAAAAACACAGCACUGUGCAAACACGAAAGUGGACGUAUACGGUGUGACGCCUGCCCGGUGCCGGAAGGUUAAUUGAUGGGGUUAGCGGCAACGCGAAGCUCUUGAUCGAAGCCCCGGUAAACGGCGGCCGUAACUAUAACGGUCCUAAGGUAGCGAAAUUCCUUGUCGGGUAAGUUCCGACCUGCACGAAUGGCGUAAUGAUGGCCGGGGCUGUCUCCACCCGAGACUCAGUGAAAUUGAACUCGCUGUGAAGAUGCAGUGUACCCGCGGCAAGACGGAAAGACCCCGUGAACCUUUACUAUAGCUUGACACUGAACAUUGAGCCUUGAUGUGUAGGAUAGGUGGGAGGCUUUGAAGUGUGGACGCCAGUCUGCAUGGAGCCGACCUUGAAAUACCACCCUUUAAUGUUUGAUGUUCUAACGUUGGCCCGUAAUCCGGGUUGCGGACAGUGUCUGGUGGGUAGUUUGACUGGGGCGGUCUCCUCCUAAAGAGUAACGGAGGAGCACGAAGGUUGGCUAAUCCUGGUCGGACAUCAGGAGGUUAGUGCAAUGGCAUAAGCCAGCUUGACUGCGAGCGUGACGGCGCGAGCAGGUGCGAAAGCAGGUCAUAGUGAUCCGGUGGUUCUGAAUGGAAGGGCCAUCGCUCAACGGAUAAAAGGUACUCCGGGGAUAACAGGCUGAUACCGCCCAAGAGUUCAUAUCGACGGCGGUGUUUGGCACCUCGAUGUCGGCUCAUCACAUCCCCGGGGCUGAAGUAGGUCCCAAGGGUAUGGCUGUUCGCCAUUUAAAGUGGUACGCGAGCUGGGUUUAGAACGUCGUGAGACAGUUCGGUCCCCUAUCUGCCGUGGGCGCUGGAGAACUGAGGGGGGCUGCUCCUAGUACGAGAGGACCGGAGUGGACGCAUCACUGGUGUUCGGGUUGUCAUGCCAAUGGCACUGCCCGGUAGCUAAAUGCGGAAGAGAUAAGUGCUGAAAGCAUCUAAGCACGAAACUUGCCCCGAGAUGAGUUCUCCCUGACUCCUUGAGGGUCCUGAAGGAACGUUGAAGACGACGACGUUGAUAGGCCGGGUGUGUAAGCGCAGCGAUGCGUUGAGCUAACCGGUACUAAUGAACCGUGAGGCUUAACCUUACAACGCCGAAG
Molecule: ribosomal RNA, 2929 nt
Filed under: Escherichia coli
Lineage: Bacteria; Pseudomonadati; Pseudomonadota; Gammaproteobacteria; Enterobacterales; Enterobacteriaceae
Description: 23S ribosomal RNA
Rfam family: Bacterial large subunit ribosomal RNA
Source: RNAcentral